UACGUAGGGGGCGAGCGUUGUCCGGAAUCAUUGGGCGUAAAGCGCGUGUAGGCGGCUCGGUAAGUCUGCUGUGAAAGUCCAGGGCUCAACCCUGGGAUGCCGGUGGAUACUGUCGAGCUCGAGUCCGGAAGAGGCGAGUGGAAUUCCUGGUGUAGCGGUGAAAUGCGCAGAUAUCAGGAGGAACACCAAUGGCGAAGGCAACUCGCUGGGACGUGACUGACGCUGAGACGCGAAAGCGUGGGGAGCAAACAGG
RNAcentral lists this ribosomal RNA (253 nucleotides) under uncultured bacterium. RNAcentral's name for it is "partial 16S ribosomal RNA". It matches the Rfam family "Bacterial small subunit ribosomal RNA", at positions 524 to 776 of the family's 1533-position model. The record is from RNAcentral.